This 1456-nucleotide long non-coding RNA is filed under the name Homo sapiens (human). RNAcentral's name for it is "HSALNT0034194". Lineage: Eukaryota; Metazoa; Chordata; Mammalia; Primates; Hominidae. The record is from RNAcentral.
CGGGAGACCCGGGCCGCAGGAGAGAAGACCCAGGGAACUCCCAGCUGGUGCAACUGCCCAGGAGGGGUCUUUGUCAGUGAGGACUGGCAAAAUCAGUCGAUUUUGUCUGUCUUUAUCUUCUUUUUAUUAAGCUCCCAUAGUUCAGGUAUGUAUGGUUUCCCCAGCCUGCAGAGGCUCAGAAACUGCCAAGGGGAGCAAGGUGCCCUGACCAGAGAGGGGUCACUCCCCAUAGAAGAGAGACUUGAAGGGCAGACUUCACGGACCCAGCUGGAUCUUGGGACAUUCCUGACAACCCAGAAAGCGCUACUGCGGAGUGAACCGGUCCUUAUAUCUUAGUUUCGUGACUUUGGGGGCGGCAGGCCUGUGAGUUGUUUUCCGCCCUGGACGCUGUUUUGCAAAGAUCUCUGCGCGCCCACCGCCACCCUCCCGGGCGUGCGGGCCGGGAAGCAGCCAGCGGUGGGAAACUCCGACGCCCUCCUCGACACUUUUCUCCCCCCAACUCCCCAAGACUCACUUCUAGGGAAGUCCUUUUUCCCAUCAAGCCCUGGGAAAGACUGGCCAGGCUGAGAGAGGGACCCGUCCUCCUCUGUGCCAAAGGCGGGAGCAAAUCCUGGUGCUGUCGCCUUUGGAUGAAACUUUUCGCGCAGAAACUCCUGGAGAACAGCCCCGGCCGCCAGGAAAGAAGCGUACCCAGGCCGUCUGCUGUGUGCCCACCCCGAUCCCCAUCAGUGCCCCACGCACUCGAGCUCUUCUUCGGCGUCUGCAGCCUCUUCAUCCGCGCGGAGAGGCGGAGGUCUCCCGGAAACAGUGUCCGACUGUGGCACCCCAGAGCGUCCAAUGCGAGCUCAGGCCUUUCCCGCAAGUCUGGAGUUUUCUUAUCCAGUUGAGGCCGCCUUCGCUGUACUCACUCUCUGCCUCCCACCCCAUCUUCUGCCACCCGACCUCCAUCUUUGAUGGUUAGCGCCUUCAGCCCUCAACAGCUUCGCACAACCAACCCCUAGAAGCCGUGGAGUCAGACCGGCCAGGGUGGGACCUAGGUUUUAACUCGGGUUCUGGCUACACACGCUGCGCCUCCAUACAGUUUGUCCCAGGUUUGGCAGCAGGCCGGCUACCUUCAGGAAUUCUUUGCUUUGGCUUCUGUCUGUUCCUGUCUGUUGGGCAAGUUUCUAGCUACCCCACUGAGAGAACCAUAGAACAAGGACCCUGGCAUGGCAUACAGACAAGGAAUGUUUGCUGAAUUAAUGGAGCUGGUGCCUUGCAGCUUCCCUUUUGUUCCUUGAAGUUGCCCUUGCUCUCCUCCACAUCAGCUCCCUCUCCUCCUCAGCUACUUAUUCCCCACCCUGGCUUCUUCUAGUCGCAGUCCCCAAGUACUUGCUGAAUCCUGUAUGGACAGCCUAAGCCUCCAUUUCUGACAAUUCCUGUGGCCCCACUCCAUUUGUUUUUUAGACUUCUCCCU